ACAACAUUAGGACCGUCGGUCUACCGAGCAAUAUCACCCGCUCGAAGGAAGAUCUUCCCUUCGUCGU
This 67-nucleotide microRNA precursor is filed under the name Bombyx mori (domestic silkworm). RNAcentral's name for it is "mir-2774 microRNA precursor family". It matches the Rfam family "mir-2774 microRNA precursor family". The record is from Rfam by way of RNAcentral. Lineage: Eukaryota; Metazoa; Arthropoda; Insecta; Lepidoptera; Bombycidae.